This 430-nucleotide ribosomal RNA is filed under the name Fabaeformiscandona fabaeformis. RNAcentral's name for it is "LSU rRNA". It matches the Rfam family "Eukaryotic large subunit ribosomal RNA", at positions 2280 to 2694 of the family's 3401-position model. The record is from RNAcentral. Lineage: Eukaryota; Metazoa; Arthropoda; Ostracoda; Podocopida; Candonidae.
UAGCCAAAUGCCUCGUCAUCCAAUUAGUGACGCGCAUGAAUGGAUUAACGAGAUUCCCACUGUCCCUAUCUACUGUCUAGCGAAACCACAGCCAAGGGAACGGGCUUGGAAAAAUCAGCGGGGAAAGAAGACCCUGUUGAGCUUGACUCUAGUUUGACUUUGUGAAGAGACAUGGAAGGUGUAGCAUAAGUGGGAGACUUUGUCGCCAAUGAAAUACCACUACUCCCAUCGUUUCUUUACUUACUCGAUGAAGUGGAGUGCGACUCUUAUCAGAGUCACCCUACUUGUUCAAAGUGAUGGGGUGUCCAUUGGGCACCCUACACGAUCCAAUUCGAGGACAUUGUCAGGCGGGGAGUUUGACUGGGGCGGUACAUCUGUCAAAUACUAACGCAGGUGUCCUAAGGUUAGCUCCGUCAGGACAGAAACCUGG